This 253-nucleotide ribosomal RNA is filed under the name uncultured bacterium. RNAcentral's name for it is "partial 16S ribosomal RNA". It matches the Rfam family "Bacterial small subunit ribosomal RNA", at positions 524 to 776 of the family's 1533-position model. The record is from RNAcentral.
CACGUAGGCACCAAGCGUUGUCCGGAUUUAUUGGGCGUAAAGGGCUCGUAGGCGGUCCGUCACGUCGGGAGUGAAAACUCGGGGCUCAACCCCGAGCCUGCUUCCGAUACGGGCGGACUAGAGGUAGGUAGGGGAGAACGGAAUUCCUGGUGUAGCGGUGGAAUGCGCAGAUAUCAGGAGGAACACCGGUGGCGAAGGCGGUUCUCUGGGCCUUACCUGACGCUGAGGAGCGAAAGCGUGGGGAGCGAACAGG